CAGCCCUAAACGAUGCGCGUUAGGUGUAUCGGUGACCACGAGUCACCGAGGUGCCGAAGGGAAACCGUGAAACGUGCCGCCUGGGAAGUACGGCCGCAAGGCUGAAACUUAAAGGAAUUGGCGGGGGAGCACCACAAGAGGUGGAGGCUGCGGUUCAAUUGGACUCAACGCCGGAAAACUCAUCGGGAGCGACAGCAAUAUGUAGGUCAAGCUAAAGACUUUACCAGAAUCGCUGAGAGGAGGUGCAUGGCGUAGUCGUGU
Molecule: ribosomal RNA, 261 nt
Filed under: uncultured archaeon
Lineage: Archaea
Description: partial 16S ribosomal RNA
Rfam family: Archaeal small subunit ribosomal RNA
Source: RNAcentral